GAUGAACGCUGGCGGCGUGCCUAAUACAUGCAAGUCGAGCGAACGGACGAGAAGCUUGCUUUUCUGAUGUUAGCGGCGGACGGGUGAGUAACACGUGGAUAACCUACCUAUAAGACUGGGAUAACUUCGGGAAACCGGAGCUAAUACCGGAUAAUAUUUUGAACCGCAUGGUUCAAAAGUGAAAGACGGUCUUGCUGUCACUUAUAGAUGGAUCCGCGCUGCAUUAGCUAGUUGGUAAGGUAACGGCUUACCAAGGCAACGAUGCAUAGCCGACCUGAUAGGGUGAUCGGCCACCCUGGAACUGAGACACGGUCCAGAGUCCUACGGGAGGCAGCAGUAGGGAAUCUUCCGCAAUGGGCGAAAGCCUGACGGAGCAACGCCGCGUGAGUGAUGAAGGUCUUCGGAUCGUAAAACUCUGUUAUUAGGGAAGAACAUAUGUGUAAGUAACUGUGCACAUCUUGACGGUACCUAAUCAGAAAGCCACGGCUAACUACGUG
RNAcentral lists this ribosomal RNA (497 nucleotides) under uncultured bacterium. Its description in RNAcentral is "partial 16S ribosomal RNA". It matches the Rfam family "Bacterial small subunit ribosomal RNA", at positions 28 to 507 of the family's 1533-position model. The record is from RNAcentral.